UCGUUGUCGGGUUACUCAAGCUGCUCCUUUUAAUACAGCUGUGUAGAGUUGUAGUGAUGUUACUGUUUGCAAACUGGUGAGUCCCAUCAGUGCAUACAGUACGGUAAUUGGGUGCUGUGUUUGUCCGAAACUGGAAUUGCGCCCGAAAAGUGAACUGCGUUUCUUGCUCUGUAGUGUAAAGUAUCUCAUCUGUUCGUAAGCGCGUUUACAGUUUUAUCAAGUUCUGCUUCCGUUUUAUCGUUUACAGUUUUAUCAAGUUCUGCUUCCAUCGUUACAAGAGAGCGCCUUACGCCUUGUAGAGAAAAGCACUUUUUCUUGGUUUACGCGUGCGUGCAGUCCGUUAGUCGAGCUCGCUGACUAAAAAGGGAGUUAAAAUAUUGCGGUUUGAAAUGGCAAAGGAAAUGCCGAACCCGUUUGCAGAUGUGCCAAAUGAAGUUAUUUUGGAGAUCUUUUACAGGCUGGACGCUGUUACCUUAAGAAGAAUACGACGGUAAAAUCGACUCCGCGCACGAUCGCCGCAUUAAUAUGGUUUUCCACUUCAUCAGCGAUUAUACUCGUCCAGUAGUACUUACCUCAUUAUUAAUUAUUGUGGCAGUGUAAUGGCCCUACUUGAUAAAUCGAAAUUUAAACCUAUUUGAUGAAAUGUAAUAUCGACCUCGUGGUCGUGUCUCAUAAUGGAAGCUUAGCCUUAACAAUUACCGGCGUUUAAUUGGUUUUGUUUAGUGUAUGUCGCAACUGGCGCAAACUCAUUGAUGAUCCAUCAUCCCACAUCGAUGAAGUUGCGUUUUUUACCUUGGAACCGGCGCUUCACCAUGGUCUGGACUGCAGCUGGAUGCGGAUCGUGCCGACGAAGCAAGAAUCCGUGCAUGUCAAUCUGCGUGCAUUAGUCCAAAAACGAAGGAGAUCAUUUUCCGACCGGCUGAUUCCGGCGCCGCAUCGACAACGUCUUCCUUUUCAUUUUGGCACCAUUUCAUGGAUGAACUAGCUAUCCACUACGAUAAUCUUCGUUUUGUAGAUUUCCAGAAAAACAGAACGACGGGACACAGGAUGCCAAAAAAUUUAAGAAAGACGAAACACAGUAUUCGGAUGAAAUGCCACCAUUGCGAACCAUGACCUUUAUCAAUCUGAUCAUUCCUAAAAUCGCCCUUUGCUGGAUCUUUGUCGCUCCGUCCACUGUUCGCAACAUCCAUUUGCGUAUGGCGACACUGUACGGCGAAUUCGAGCGGGAAAACUGGUUCACACUUACUUACUACUGGGAUGAUCGCUGGUUUGACACCAGGAAGCAAGAUGAGCUGGAAUGGGGCAUCUGCUGGGAUGACUACCGCUGGUUUUCGUACAUUGCCAGAUUUAUUGGACCUUUGAAACCACAAGAAGAAAGGACAUUGCUAAAGCUACUGCGUGAUGAAAAAGUCAAUACCACGAUAAAAGAAGAGCUGGAAAAUCGGGACGUUUUGGAUUCCUUGUCUGAUGGUUUUUGGGACGAAUUUCAGACUAUCGACAGCAGCACGAUCGAUCUCGACUGGAUUUGUAAGUGGAAUAUUUGGACACAACGUUUCCUUUUGAAUUUUGCCGGUAUGCACAAAGAAGCAACUGGCAUCGAAACUUGAUCUGUAAUGCAGCUCAUAAUGUCUGGACUCAGAAUAUGAAGGUGGCGGAAAUAUAAUUCCAAUCUUCUCACACAAUGCAGUUCUUUUCGAAAUUGCAAAAUAUUUCUAAUACAGUGCUUUUUGUGCGAGCUGUAUCUAUGGGAAAAAUUAAAGCCGCAUUCCG
Paramacrobiotus metropolitanus is the source of this 1770-nucleotide RNA transcript. RefSeq lists it as uncharacterized. Lineage: Eukaryota; Metazoa; Tardigrada; Eutardigrada; Parachela; Macrobiotidae. The record is from RefSeq and is a predicted model, not a curated record. The transcript has 5 exons.